GGGUUGUUAGCUCAGUCGGUAGAGCAGUUGACUUUUAAUCAAUUGGUCGCAGGUUCGAAUCCUGCACGACCCAUCA
Molecule: transfer RNA, 76 nt
Filed under: secondary endosymbiont of Heteropsylla cubana
Lineage: Bacteria; Pseudomonadati; Pseudomonadota; Gammaproteobacteria; Enterobacterales; Enterobacteriaceae
Description: tRNA-Lys
Rfam family: tRNA
About the family: Transfer RNA (tRNA) molecules are approximately 80 nucleotides in length.
Source: RNAcentral